This 490-nucleotide ribosomal RNA is filed under the name uncultured bacterium. RNAcentral describes it as "partial 16S ribosomal RNA". It matches the Rfam family "Bacterial small subunit ribosomal RNA", at positions 30 to 507 of the family's 1533-position model. The record is from RNAcentral.
AUUGAACGCUGGCGGCAGGCCUAACACAUGCAAGUCGAACGGUAACAGGAAGAAGCUUGCUUCUUUGCUGACGAGUGGCGGACGGGUGAGUAAUGUCUGGGAAACUGCCUGAUGGAGGGGGAUAACUACUGGAAACGGUAGCUAAUACCGCAUAACGUCGCAAGACCAAAGAGGGGGACCUUCGGGCCUCUUGCCAUCGGAUGUGCCCAGAUGGGAUUAGCUAGUAGGUGGGGUAACGGCUCACCUAGGCGACGAUCCCUAGCUGGUCUGAGAGGAUGACCAGCCACACUGGAACUGAGACACGGUCCAGACUCCUACGGGAGGCAGCAGUGGGGAAUAUUGCACAAUGGGCGCAAGCCUGAUGCAGCCAUGCCGCGUGUAUGAAGAAGGCCUUCGGGUUGUAAAGUACUUUCAGCGGGGAGGAAGGGAGUAAAGUUAAUACCUUUACUCAUUGACGUUACACGCAGAAGAAGCACCGGCUAACUCCGUG